AUUGAACGCUGGCGGCAUGCCUUACACAUGCAAGUCGAACGGCAGCGGGGGAGAAGCUUGCUUUUCCUGCCGGCGAGUGGCGAACGGGUGAGUAAUACGUCGGAACGUGCCCUGUAGUGGGGGAUAACUAGUCGAAAGAUUAGCUAAUACCGCAUACGACCUGAGGGUGAAAGUGGGGGGCCGUAAGGCCUCAUGCUAUAGGAGCGGCCGAUGUCUGAUUAGCUAGUUGGUGGGGUAAAGGCCUACCAAGGCGCCGAUCAGUAGCUGGUCUGAGAGGACGAUCAGCCACACUGGGACUGAGACACGGCCCAGACUCCUACGGGAGGCAGCAGUGGGGAAUUUUGGACAAUGGGCGAAAGCCUGAUCCAGCAAUGCCGCGUGUGUGAAGAAGGCCUUCGGGUUGUAAAGCACUUUUGUCCGGAAAGAAAUGGCUCUGGUUAAUACCUGGGGUCGAUGACGGUACCGGAAGAAUAAGGACCGGCUAACUACGUGCCAGCCGCCGCAGUAA
RNAcentral lists this ribosomal RNA (508 nucleotides) under uncultured bacterium. RNAcentral describes it as "partial 16S ribosomal RNA". It matches the Rfam family "Bacterial small subunit ribosomal RNA", at positions 30 to 523 of the family's 1533-position model. The record is from RNAcentral.